GAUGAACGCUGGCGGCGUGCCUAAUACAUGCAAGUCGAGCGAACGGACGAGAAGCUUGCUUCUCUGAUGUUAGCGGCGGACGGGUGAGUAACACGUGGAUAACCUACCUAUAAGACUGGGAUAACUUCGGGAAACCGGAGCUAAUACCGGAUGAUAUUUUGAACCGCAUGGUUCAAAAGUGAAAGACGGUCUUGCUGUCACUUAUAGAUGGAUCCGCGCUGCAUUAGCUAGUUGGUAAGGUAACGGCUUACCAGGGCAACGAUGCAUAGCCGACCUGAGAGGGUGAUCGGCCACACUGGAACUGAGACACGGUCCAGACUCCUUCGGGAGGCAGCAGUAGGGAAUCUUCCGCAAUGGGCGAAAGCCUGACGGAGCAACGCCGCGUGAGUGAUGAAGGUCUUCGGAUCGUAAAACUCUGUUAUUAGGGAAGAACAUAUGUGUAAGUAACUGUGCACAUCUUGACGGUACCUAAUCAGAAAGCCACGGCUAACUACGUG
RNAcentral lists this ribosomal RNA (497 nucleotides) under uncultured bacterium. RNAcentral describes it as "partial 16S ribosomal RNA". It matches the Rfam family "Bacterial small subunit ribosomal RNA", at positions 28 to 507 of the family's 1533-position model. The record is from RNAcentral.